UGAAGAGUUGAAGUUUUAUUUCUUUAGAA
RNAcentral lists this non-coding RNA (29 nucleotides) under Rattus norvegicus (Norway rat). Lineage: Eukaryota; Metazoa; Chordata; Mammalia; Rodentia; Muridae. The record is from RNAcentral.